Mycena rebaudengoi is the source of this 95-nucleotide non-coding RNA. NCBI's taxonomy places the organism in Eukaryota, Fungi, Basidiomycota, Agaricomycetes, Agaricales, Mycenaceae. The record is from the annotation of a GenBank genome assembly.
GACUUGUUGGCGCACUCGGCAGCGUCCCCACAAUAACUCAAUCCUGAGAGGAACUACGUAUGUGGGCGGCCCCGGUUCGAUUCUGGGAUGAGUCA